AUAUAUUCGAUAUUAAAAUAGCCAUUAAAAGAUUUAAUCCAUUUCGGAACAAACAUAAAUGUUUUUAUGACAAAACUUUUAAAACUGUUGUGGAUACUUUUAAAAAUAUUCUUAACAAUACUUUUCGUGAAAAUAAUAUCUUAAAGGCUACUUAUAUCGAAAAAUUAGAAAAGGCUUCACGUUUACUAAACUGUUGUGUAUGUUUGCUAAAUUUUCAAUGCUCUAACGUACAAGAAGCUCUCCAGAUGUAUCCAAAAAAUACUCCAAAAAUGGACGUUACGGAGAAAAUUCCACAAAGAUUAACACUGUUUAAAUCGGGGACACAGAUUACCACUGUUGAAAACCGGCGCAGAUUCCGUUUUAGUUUUGGUCUGAAAAGAGAGUUAGGUUUUAAACUGCAAAAAAUUGCCUUAAACGUUACAUUAAAAAAUGCCGAAAUCGACAGUACCACUAUUAAGAAACUAUGCCGUUUAUUAAAUCCCGAGGAAGUCUUCAUCGCAACACUUUUGAAAAGCGAAUUCAAAUCUGUUAUUCCUUUAUUGUACAGGUCACCAUACAUCGCCUGGAAACUUGCAGAAGCUGGAUUCGAAACGGAUCCUCGUAUCGCCGAUUCGGAGGGAUUUUCUUCACUUUACUAUGCCGUGCUUACUACCGACGUGAAUCUUCUUCAUGUAUUGUAUGAUUAUGCUGCUAAUGGAUGCUGGGGGAAAGAAAAUUGUUCAUACAGAAGUCUUGAUAACGAUGUGUUUUCUAACGAUGUUGUUUCUUAUCUUGAUAAACUUGAUUCCGUUAUGAAAACAGAUCAAACACGAUCCAAAGAUUUUGCGGCAAUGAGAGAGAAUCAACGAAAAUUCAGUUUUAUACUGCAAGAAAUGCUUCUAUUCAAUAAUUUUUUAAAAGCAGUAACUAAAACCAUUAGAGGUAUUAGGUCUAAAAUGAAUGGUAGUACUCUCGUUUCUCAGGCUACUAAGAUAAAGGAGACCGUUUUAUCAAUUUUAGAGAUUUAUAACAAUUUCUUCGUCGUAGACGAAGAUACGUCGAUAGGUGAAAUUCAAACAGUAGCUGAUAUCAACCCCGCGGAUGAAACUGAUUGUGCUGAUGAAACGAAGGAGAUUAACCCCCUCGAUAAUUAUAAAACAUUUAAGCAUUUCUACGAUAACCUAGAUUUCACAUCUGCCCUUUUGUUUUUUGAUAACAUUUUUCUUUUGAAAAGUAAGUUAAAUUUAGGAAACAUAGCUCAGUAUUCUGAAAUAGAAUCCGCUUUCUUUUUGUCUGUGUUGAGUAACAAGUAUUUUACCACCAAUGUUAAAGCCAGGGCUUCUAUUCGUGGCAGACAGGGUUCUUUAAGCCAAAAAGUAAAUGAAGAUAAAUUAUGGUUAAAGGGUAACAGUAGCAACAUAUACGUAGUUCCGUGUCUUGAAAGAUUUCAACUUAGAGAAGUAAUAAAACGAUUUAUAGAAGUUCUUCGUGAGACCGAUGCGGAACUGUGGAACGCCCGAGAGCGUUUACCUAAAUGUGAAGUUACCGAAAGCCUGCUGAGUUUUCCGGAAAUUGAAGAUGAAUUAUUAAUUGCAAGAUUAAAACAUUAUGUUAAAACUGCGUUGUGCAUAGAAGUGGAUGAUGUCCAAUCUGUAUUUGUCAUCGAAAGGGCUCUCCAAGUAAUAGGCGAAAGUAUUAAAACAGAAGGUAAAACUGCUAAAUCCUAUUGUCAUCUGCUUUCUGCUUGUUUACCUUCUAAAACUGCAAGCACACUUCGGAAGAUUCGCAAUGCAUUAAGUAAUUUAAACGAUCAAGAACCCGAGAUUAAAUUCAACACAGAGAAAAAUUUUGAUCUCUUUUCAAAUAUUCAGACGGAAAUCAGAAAAAUAAAUGAUUUUUUCCAACCAGUUUAUGAACUUCAGAAUAUAAGAAUUAAAGAAUUCAUAUUUCAACGUAGCAAAACACUAGUGAAAGCAGCACGAGAAGAGUCGCAGAGAUUAUUGUACCUCUCUCCCAUGUACAAUUACGAACUUUUUAAUUCCUUCUUGAAGCUCGAAACUGAACUCGAUGAUCAAAAAGCAAAAUAUUCAGUUUCUUUUCAGGAAUUUAUUGAGAAAUAUGAACUGCUUUUUAAGAAUCUUGUUCACGCACUGGAAUCAAAAAUUAAUGAUCCAGAGGAAACUAAAAAUAAAAUUUUAUGGCCAUUGGAGCAUUUGCUAAAUUUUACAGUUGAACAUUUCCAAUUUUCCAAUUCUAAGAGAUUACUAGAAAUUAUGAAAAGCAAAAAUGAUGACGUCCAUAGAACACCUGAUCAUUUCGUUAAAAAUAUAAAGAAGUUUAUCUGUGAUUUAUACUCUCAAGAAAAUGAGACGGAAACCGAUGUAGGUAACAUUCAUCGAUUCAUACAAAUUAUUGCAGGGAAUAUAUAUGAUUAUUCAAAAGAGGAUCGAGACCAAAUAAUGGCUGAUAUUCCAGAAUGUGUGAAGUCUUCCAAAUAUAAAUUACAAGACUCGUUGGAAAAAGGCAUUUUGUUAAGUGAAGAAGAAAGAGAUGCAGAAAUUAAAAAUCUUAUUUUAUCUAACAAGAAACGUGAAAAGUUAAGAAAAUCUUAUAAAACUGAUUCAAAAAGAGCAUUGGAUAUUUUAAAAUUUGCCAUUGAACCCAUUAGUUACAUACAACAAAUAUUCAAUGGUGAAUCUAUAGGAGGAAAGGAAUUCGAAACAUUGUGUAAUGUGAUACCAUUUUCUUCAGAAAAUAAAAGGAAAUUAUCUGUGGCGGUAUUAGGAAACAAGCAAGUGGCAGCGCAUAGAGAUGCUUGUUCGAAUCUUUUAGACAGAAUACACCAUCUAAAGACUUUAGUAAUAGAGGCUAAUUCAGACAUACGUAAUUUAUGGGAUAAUGCCAGAAAUUGGAAAACUAAACAAUACACCACGCACAAAGUUGUUCAGCUAUAUAUGCGAGAUCCUAAAUUUCAAGCUUCGAUUGAAACGCUUCUCUUCGAUUGCAUGAAUAUUACUCGGAACAAAAGAUUGGGAUGCUUGUGGAAAAAAUCUUCCAGUCUCUUCAACGGCAUUAACUUACGAAAUGUCUUGGCUCACGGGAGUCCCAUUCUGGAGAAUCUGGGACAGCUCUUGGAUCCAGAAGACGUGCCAUCUUCAUUAGUGAACGAGAUUCUACAACUGAUCGCAGAUGAAGAUGCUAUUACAGCAAUGAGAGAUUUGCACCGUUUGACAAAAGAAACUUUUGGUAAUGUUAUGAAACAAGACGAAAAUGAUGAACAUAAAGAACUGCGAGAUCGUGUGAAGAUCUGCGACAACUGGGAAAAGUACUUCCCUUUGUUAAAUGGAAAUAUGAAAGAAUCCAGUUCUUCAAUUGGAAGCUCGAUUAGUGUGGUAUCUAAUGAAACUCAAAAUGUCUCUUAGAGAAAACAAUUUUGCAAAUUAUCUUCUUGCUUAAAAGAAAGACGAAAUGUUUCCAAUAUAUGAACCUUCGAUUAAGAAGUGCAUUGGUAUUAUGAGCUACUAGAUGAAGACCGCUAUGGGAUGGUGCCAGUACAUUCGAUUUCCGAGCCGCAGAGAGAGCUACUAUAUAUGAUUCAAAAAUACGCUUGCGGGUGAUCAAACACUAUGUGAGAGCUAUCUUCGGCAGCAAGGAUGUGAAUUUGAAAGUCAAAGACUUUCUCACUACAUUGGGAGUCGAACCUUCUUAUCCAUGGUCUGUAGUUGCCGGGUAUGAGAAUAUUAUCUGCAUUUUAAAGAAUUUUCACAAGUGCACGGGCCGUCCAUGCGUCAAAGAACUCAGGAGAAUGCCAAAGAUGACGAAGUUAAGGAAAGUUAAAAGAAAGUCAAAAACGAAAAAUGUGGAAGAACUUUCCAGAGAAAAAGAGAAGAGUAGAGAAAAAUUAUCAACAAUUCCUAAAAGUUAUUAUCCGGAACAUUACAUCUGAAGUUCUAAAAAUUUCAAAUAUUAUUUUUCCGUAUGAAAUUAUACUACCGAGAUAUUAAA
Molecule: RNA transcript, 3984 nt
Organism: Stegodyphus dumicola
Lineage: Eukaryota; Metazoa; Arthropoda; Arachnida; Araneae; Eresidae
Source: RefSeq, a predicted model, not a curated record